RNAcentral lists this ribosomal RNA (497 nucleotides) under uncultured bacterium. RNAcentral's name for it is "partial 16S ribosomal RNA". It matches the Rfam family "Bacterial small subunit ribosomal RNA", at positions 28 to 507 of the family's 1533-position model. The record is from RNAcentral.
GAUGAACGCUGGCGGCGUGCCUAAUACAUGCAAGUCGAGCGAACAGACGAGGAGCUUGCUCCUCUGACGUUAGCGGCGGACGGGUGAGUCACACGUGGAUAACCUACCUAUAAGACUGGGAUAACUUCGGGAAACCGGAGCUAAUACCGGAUAAUAUAUUGAACCGCAUGGUUCAAUAGUGAAAGACGGUUUUGCUGUCACUUAUAGAUGGAUCCGCGCCGCAUUAGCUAGUUGGUAAGGUAACGGCUUACCAAGGCAACGAUGCGUAGCCGACCUGAGAGGGUGAUCGGCCACACUGGAAGUGAGACACGGUCCAGACUCCUACGGGAGGCAGCAGUAGGGAAUCUUCCGCAAUGGGCGAGAGCUUGACGGAGCAACGCCGCGUGAGUGAUGAAGGUCUUCGGAUCGGAAAACUCUGUUAUUAGGGAAGAACAAAUGUGUAAGUAACUAUGCACGUCUUGACGGUACCUAAUCAGAAAGCCACGGCUAACUACGUG